UGAUUUUGAAGGCUAUGCCUCCCAGAAAUCCUCCCUGUGAAUACGAUGCGUUUUAUUCACUUACGACAAUGUUGUGACAUCAAUCAUGUCCUGCAGUAUGGGCUGCAGCCAUUAUGGUGCCCGGUACUUUCCCUGUAAUUAUUUUUCAAGUCAUUUCCAGAGUACUUCAUUAAAUGUUUUUAAUGCCGCUAUGGGGAAUCAGAAAAUAAACUAAUUCCAUUUUCCAGGGCUUUUAAGAAAUGUAGCUUUAUUUUAGGUUGAAGUUAAUUUUGUAUUGCUACCUUUGUCAGAGGCAUACAAGGUAGUACUUUUUAUCUUUGGAAGAUAAGGAUUUCAUUGUUGCAAUCUAGGAAAAAAUGCCUAUACCAGUGAAGUCUCUCUCUCUCUCUCUCUCUCUCUCUCUCUCUCUCUCUCUCUUUUUUAAUUUGGCAAGGGAGGGAGGAAAAGCAACGUUACCAUUCCCUCUCCCAUAUGCUCCAACUUUUAUGUCUGUUUUGCCAUCUAUUCCAUUAACCUUAUGAUUAAUGAAAGUCUCCAGAAUUUUAAAUACCUUGAAAGGGAGCCAACGCCUGGUCUUUGGAGGCUAUGUUGAAAAUAAACAACGAUAAAAACGGGGAGAUGCAGGCUUUUGAAGUCCUUAAAGACACGACCACUGUGAUCUUUGUACCACGGUGCAGAAAAGAGGACAGCAUUUCACAUUUCUGGCAUUACUCACGACAACACAGCCACUGAAAGCGAGCAUGAAUUUCUGGGAGUAGCAUUAGGAUACAGGGCUCCUGCUGAGCUCACCAGUUCCUUGCUCUGCACAGCUGCCUUCUCAGCUGGGGGUUUUUAAAUCAGCACAGUGAGAAAAGAUAGCAAUGGCCAUGAUGCAUCUUCCUCCCUAUGAGAAAAAGUUAUGGGAGAAGGAUUCUGAACUUCUCGUGGCUGUGCUGACAUCAGUAAGAGUUGGAGAAAGUAUACAUUUAAGAAAACGUAUACAUUCCCACCCACAGGAUAUUAAGAUUUUGAUUCUGCAUUCCGAGAUUUCAAAGCUGGAGUUGAUAUUUUCAAAUAAACAGUUCUUUAAGAGACACAGGAACAUCUUACGUUAGGACCACGCCACGAAGGGGCUGUUUCUAAAAAGUCUUUGGAUGUGUCACAGAGCGUCGCUUCUUGGUUAUAACCUUGGUUUAUCUCAGUUCUGAUUUUCCUCUCCGCCUGUGUUGAGCAAGUCAAUUUGAACAUGGCUCUUCUGGAAUGAUUUUAAUUCCUACGAUGGUAUGGCUACUUCUCUCAGUAGGAUAAUCCUGCCACAAUUCUUCCAACAUUGCACUUUACUUACCUUCUGGAAAGCAGACUUCAAGACUGUUGACCUGUCUGUUGGCCCCAAGCGAUAGGGUGUGUAGGAAACAUUUCUUCCUGAGGGAUCCUCUCAAGGGGAGUGCUUGGACAAUAGCUUCACCGAAGGUACACCUUGUUCUUAAUUAAAUGCUACUUGUCACUGGUAUCUGCCCCUCUCUGUUGAGUGUUUUUGUAAUACAGGAAUCAAGUUGCAUGAUCCCAGCCAGAGGCCACAACACCAACCAGGAGAGCAGUCAGCUUAUAGCCACCCAAGUCAGCAGGCACUUUCCACGAACCCUGGAAAUCAACAUAUUCUUGGGGUCCAGAUUUAUUUUGUUGUUGUUUGAAAUCUAAAUGUCAAGCGUGAGAAAUCAUACUGGACAUAUUAUUCUUGAAAUUCUUUUGUUCCCAAAUAAUUGGCAGAACUUUGAGCAUAUUCUUCUCAAAAAGGAAAUACGGUGACAUACUCUGGACAGUCCAAACCAAACGUCCAAAAGGAGAAAACCACGGUUGUUCUGGGGGGAAUUAGAAGGCUGACAGACUCUUGCCACCAUGGAACCCUACUCACACUGCUACUUGUCUCUGGUGGUUCCCGCUCUACUUUAUACAUUCCUAAGGGAGAGAGUGGGUCAUGUGUCUCUACACUUGACUCAGUCAACCAUGGCCAAAGAGACUGGUGGCAUUAACCAAUGGAGGGUGAUUACAAGGGUUCCAGUGCCCCCAGCCUGUGUUCUGCGAUUACACUUGUCUUUUCCUCAUUUUCUUUUUUAAAAAUAGGUUUAAAGUUUAUUUAUUUAUUUUGAGAGAGAGAGAGAGAGGCAGAGACAGAGACAGAAACAGAGAGAGAUGCAGAGAGAAUCCCAAGCAGGCUCUGCACUGGCAGCACUGAGUCAGACACAGGGCUCCAUCUCGGGAACUGUGAGAUCAUGACCUGAGCUGAAAUCAAGAGUCUGAUGCUUAACUGACUGAGACACCCACGCGCCCCUCCUCAUUUUCUUGAAAGGACCUACCUUCCAAAUAAAAGUGCCUUGCCAACACCGAUUGUCA
Molecule: long non-coding RNA, 2370 nt
Filed under: Felis catus (domestic cat)
Lineage: Eukaryota; Metazoa; Chordata; Mammalia; Carnivora; Felidae
Description: lncRNA (ENSFCAG00000043070.2)
Source: RNAcentral